GGCCGCGAAUUCGCCCUUAGAGUUUGAUCCUGGCUCAGAUUGCUUAAACUGGGCAGGCCUAACACAUGCAAGUCGAGCGGCAGCACGGGUACUUGUACCUGGUGGCGAGCGGCGGACGGGUGAGUAAUGCCUAGGAAUCUGCCUGGUAGUGGGGGAUAACGCUCGGAAACGGACGCUAAUACCGCAUACGUCCUACGGGAGAAAGCAGGGGACCUUCGGGCCUUGCGCUAUCAGAUGAGCCUAGGUCGGAUUAGCUAGUUGGUGAGGUAAUGGCUCACCAAGGCGACGAUCCGUAACUGGUCUGAGAGGAUGAUCAGUCACACUGGAACUGAGACACGGUCCAGACUCCUACGGGAGGCAGCAGUGGGGAAUAUUGGACAAUGGGCGAAAGCCUGAUCCAGCCAUGCCGCGUGUGUGAAGAAGGUCUUCGGAUUGUAAAGCACUUUAAGUUGGGAGGAAGGGCAGUUACCUAAUACGUAAUUGUUUUGACGUUACCGACAGAAUAAGCACCGGCUAACUCUGUGCCAGCAGCCGCGGUAAUACAGAGGGUGCAAGCGUUAAUCGGAAUUACUGGGCGUAAAGCGCGCGUAGGUGGUUCGUUAAGUUGGAUGUGAAAUCCCCGGGCUCAACCUGGGAACUGCAUUCAAAACUGACGAGCUAGAGUAUGGUAGAGGGUGGUGGAAUUUCCUGUGUAGCGGUGAAAUGCGUAGAUAUAGGAAGGAACACCAGUGGCGAAGGCGACCACCUGGACUGAUACUGACACUGAGGUGCGAAAGCGUGGGGAGCAAACAGGAUUAGAU
This 800-nucleotide ribosomal RNA is filed under the name uncultured Pseudomonas sp. RNAcentral describes it as "partial 16S ribosomal RNA". It matches the Rfam family "Bacterial small subunit ribosomal RNA", at positions 1 to 783 of the family's 1533-position model. The record is from RNAcentral. Lineage: Bacteria; Pseudomonadati; Pseudomonadota; Gammaproteobacteria; Pseudomonadales; Pseudomonadaceae.